This 443-nucleotide ribosomal RNA is filed under the name uncultured bacterium. RNAcentral describes it as "partial 16S ribosomal RNA". It matches the Rfam family "Bacterial small subunit ribosomal RNA", at positions 339 to 795 of the family's 1533-position model. The record is from RNAcentral.
CUACGGGUCGCAGCAGUGGGGAAUAUUGCACAAUGGGCGCAAGCCUGAUGCAGCAACGCCGCGUGAGGGAUGAAGGCCUUCGGGUUGUAAACCUCUUUUAGCAGGGAGGAAGCGAAAGUGACGGUACCUGCAGAAAAAGCACCGGCUAACUACGUGCCAGCAGCCGCGGUAAUACGUAGGGUGCAAGCGUUGUCCGGAAUUAUUGGGCGUAAAGAGCUCGUAGGCGGUUUGUCACGUCUGCUGUGAAAAUCCAAGGCUCAACCUUGGACUUGCAGUGGGUACGGGCAGGCUAGAGUGCGGUAGGGGAGAUGGGAAUUCCUGGUGUAGCGGUGGAAUGCGCAGAUAUCAGGAGGAACACCAAUGGCGAAGGCACAUCUCUGGGCCGUAACUGACGCUGAGGAGCGAAAGCGUGGGGAGCGAACAGGAUUAGAUACCCAGUAGUC